This 401-nucleotide ribosomal RNA is filed under the name uncultured Acidobacteriota bacterium. Its description in RNAcentral is "bacterial SSU rRNA". It matches the Rfam family "Bacterial small subunit ribosomal RNA", at positions 20 to 414 of the family's 1533-position model. The record is from RNAcentral. Lineage: Bacteria; Pseudomonadati; Acidobacteriota.
UGGCUCAGAAUCAACGCUGGCGGCGUCUUCUCAGACAUGCAAGUCGUACGAUUAAAGCUCUCUUCGGAGAGUGUAUAGAGUGGCGCACGGGUGAGUAACACGUAAGUAAUCUACCUUCGAGUGGGGAAUAACAGUCGGAAACGACUGCUAAUACCGCAUAAUGCAGCGGCACCUAAUGGUGUCAGUUGUUAAAGCAUUUAUGUGCUUGAAGAGGAGCUUGCGGCAGAUUAGCUAGUUGGUAAGGUAAUGGCUUACCAAGGCAACGAUCUGUAGCCGACCUGAGAGGGUGGUCGGUCACACUGACACUGAAUAACGGGUCAGACUCCUACGGGAGGCAGCAGUCGGGAAUUUUGGGCAAUGGGCGAAAGCCUGACCCAGCAACGCCGCGUGAAGGAUGAAGU